AUACGUAGGUGGCAAGCGUUGUCCGGAUUUAUUGGGCGUAAAGAGGGAGCAGGCGGCAGCAAGGGUCUGUGGUGAAAGCCUGAAGCUUAACUUCAGUAAGCCAUAGAAACCAGGCAGCUAGAGUGCAGGAGAGGAUCGUGGAAUUCCAUGUGUAGCGGUGAAAUGCGUAGAUAUAUGGAGGAACACCAGUGGCGAAGGCGACGAUCUGGCCUGCAACUGACGCUCAGUCCCGAAAGCGUGGGGAGCAAAUAGGAUUAGAUACCCUAGUAGUCCACGCCGUAAACGAUGAGUACUAAGUGUUGGAUGUCAAAGUUCAGUGCUGCAGUUAACGCAAUAAGUACUCCGCCUGAGUAGUACGUUCGCAAGAAUGAAACUCAAAUGAAUUGACGGGG
This 392-nucleotide ribosomal RNA is filed under the name uncultured bacterium. RNAcentral describes it as "partial 16S ribosomal RNA". It matches the Rfam family "Bacterial small subunit ribosomal RNA", at positions 523 to 918 of the family's 1533-position model. The record is from RNAcentral.